UACGAAGGGGGCUAGCGUUGCUCGGAAUCACUGGGCGUAAAGGGUGCGUAGGCGGGUCUUUAAGUCAGGGGUGAAAUCCUGGAGCUCAACUCCAGAACUGCCUUUGAUACUGGGGAUCUCGAGUCCGGAAGAGGUAAGUGGAACUCCGAGUGUAGAGGUGAAAUUCGUAGAUAUUCGGAAGAACACCAGUGGCGAAGGCGGCUACUGGUCCGGUACUGACGCUGAGGUGCGAAAGCGUGGGGAGCAAACAGGAUUGAGAAACCCCAGU
This 268-nucleotide ribosomal RNA is filed under the name uncultured bacterium. RNAcentral describes it as "partial 16S ribosomal RNA". It matches the Rfam family "Bacterial small subunit ribosomal RNA", at positions 524 to 791 of the family's 1533-position model. The record is from RNAcentral.